This 253-nucleotide ribosomal RNA is filed under the name uncultured bacterium. RNAcentral's name for it is "partial 16S ribosomal RNA". It matches the Rfam family "Bacterial small subunit ribosomal RNA", at positions 524 to 776 of the family's 1533-position model. The record is from RNAcentral.
UACGGGGGGGGCAAGCGUUGUUCGGAAUUACUGGGCGUAAAGGGCUCGUAGGCGGCCAACUAAGUCGGACGUGAAAUCCCCAGGCUCAACCUGGGAACUGCGUCCGAUACUGGAUGGCUUGAAUCCGGGAGAGGGAUGCAGAAUUCCAGGUGUAGCGGUGAAAUGCGUAGAUAUUUGGAGGAAUACCGGUGGCGAAGGCGGCAUCCUGGACCGGCAUUGACGCUGAGGAGCGAAAGCCAGGGGAGCAAACGGG